AUAAAUGUAACACUGACUCUGUGAAGGGGCUGCUGAAUAAAGCCAUGUCUCAUUUACCUGCUGUUGCUCCAGUGUUCUUCCAGCUCCAUGCCCCACAUCCACCCACUGUCCUCAGACCUCAGCUGGGGCUGCACCCCAACCGUGAGUGUGACAGAGAGAAAAUGAGUGUUAGAGAUCAUGAUCCUGAAGUGCUGAUGAGAAAUUCAGCCAGAAUGCCUCCAACUCAGGCCGAAAGUGUUAUAAGGAGUAUUAUACGAGAAAUAGGACAAGAAUGUGCAGCCCAUGGAGAGAUUGUUUCUGAAACUCUGAUUGCUUUUAUGGUGAAAGCUGUUGUCCUGAAUCCAAGUAAUGGCUUUAACAUGGAUAGAACCCUCAUGAAAAGUGAUGUGCAGAAUCUUGUUAAGCUUUGUAUGACUCGGCUAUUGGAUACUAAAAAUCCAUCCCUGGACACUAUUAAGAUGCAAGUCUACUUUGAUAUGAAUUAUACAAAUCGAGUGGAAUUUCUCGAAGAACAUCACCGGGUCCUAGAGUCUAGAUUAGGCUCUGUUACCAGAGAAAUUACAGAUAACAGAGCAUGUGCUAAAGAAGAAUUGGAAAGCCUCUACCGGAAGAUUAUUAGCUAUGUGUUACUCCGCUCUGGCCUUGGAUCCCCUACAGACAUCAAGACUGUCAGAGAGGUAACAGCUGCUCUACAAAGUGUUUUCCCUCAGGCAGAGCUUGGGACAUUUCUAACUCUUUCUAAGAAGGACAAAGAACGCCAGCUGAAAGAACUCACCAUGAUUGUUACUGGAAUUCGUUUAUUUAACAGAGACUGUGGAAAAGGAGGAGAAGGCAUUGAUGAUUUGCCAGCUGUUCUCCAUGUAGCAAUCCCAGCCACCAUGCAGCAUAUUGACUCCCAGCUUGAGACUGCCCGGAGCCAGGUAUACCGCUACACAGCCAUCCUUGAGAAGGCAGCCAACGACCCACUCAUGAGGACCGAACUUCAGCCAUAUAUGUUAAAAGAAGCGCUAUAUAAUAUACGACAAUAUGAGGUCUUCCUUCAAAUCAUUUUGUCAGAUAUAAUUACUGGUGCUCAAGAAGUGGAAAUGAUGACAAAACAGUUAGGAGCCCAUCUGGAACAACUAAAAAUGACUAUAAAAUCAAAGAUAGCGGUCCCAACAUCACAAGUCUUUCCUAUCUUCAUUGCACUUUCUACUCUGUGGACCAGCUUGCAAGACGAAACUAUUGUGAUUGGUAUCCUCAGUAAUUUAUUCACUCACAUUCAGCCAUUCUUGGGUGCUCACGAACUAUACUUCCCUGAGAGAGUGAUGCAAUGUCAUCUUAAUGGAGUGACUGUGAAAACUGAUGUGUGUAGAAUGAAAGAACACAUGGAAGAUAGAGUAAAUGUGGCAGAUUUCAGAAAACUAGAAUGGCUUUUCCCAGAAACAACAGCAAAUUUUGAUAAACUGUUAAUUCAAUAUCGGGGAUUUUGUGCUUACACGUUUGCUGCAACAGAUGGUCUUCUCCUUCCAGGAAAUCCAGCAAUUGGAAUUUUAAAAUAUAAAGAAAAAUAUUACACAUUCAAUAGUAAAGAUGCUGCAUAUUCAUUUGCAGAAAAUCCUGAACAUUAUAUUGAUAUAGUUAGAGAAAAGGCCAAAAAAAAUACAGAGUUAAUUCAGCUAUUGGAACUUCAUCAACAGUUUGAAACACUUAUUCCAUAUUCUCAGAUGAGAGAUGCUGACAAACAUUAUAUAAAACCAAUUACAAAAUGUGAAAGUAGCACACAGACGGAUACACACAUACUGCCACCAACAACUGUGAGAUCAUAUGAGUGGAAUGAAUGGGAAUUAAGAAGAAAAGCUAUAAAAUUGGCUAAUUUGCGCCAGAAAGUUACUCACUCAGUACAAACUGAUCUUAGUCACUUGAGAAGAGAAAAUUGUUCCCAGGUGUACCGUCCAAAGGACACUAGCACCCAGUCCAUGAGGGAAGACAGCACUGGGGUGCCCAGGCCUCAGAUUUACUUGGCUGGUCUUCGUGGAGGAAAGAGCGAAAUCACCAAUGAGGUCAAGGUGAACUUAACUAGAGAUGUGGAUGAAACCUAAUUACAGACAACGUUUUUAAAUAGGUGCUACUCAGUUAUGAACAAUAGCAAGUACUUAAAGAUUCCUAAACACAGAAAAGAAUGGCUGUAACCUGCAAUUUGGGCUUAUCAAGUUAAGGCUUGGAAGUAGAAUGGCCAAGUGAAUAAAAAUACCAAAUCCAAUUUGAAAAGCCAAUCUUAAUAUCAGACAGUCACCUGGUAAGUACAACUGAAUAAAGGGAGCUACAUCCAAUGGAAAACUCAUCCUCUCCCUGGACCUCCACCAUCUAUUCAAGCCCUGUCCUUCUGAAGAUUUCCAACCAUAUGCUGAAUUUAAUGUCUGAUGGUCACCCCCAUUUCAGCAGGUCACAGAUCAAAAUAACUUUCUCUGCCAAA
Molecule: RNA transcript, 2455 nt
Organism: Symphalangus syndactylus (siamang)
Lineage: Eukaryota; Metazoa; Chordata; Mammalia; Primates; Hylobatidae
Gene: CFAP206
Gene name: cilia and flagella associated protein 206
Source: RefSeq, a predicted model, not a curated record